This 1183-nucleotide ribosomal RNA is filed under the name Klebsiella oxytoca. RNAcentral describes it as "partial 23S ribosomal RNA". It matches the Rfam family "Bacterial large subunit ribosomal RNA", at positions 1762 to 2925 of the family's 2925-position model. Lineage: Bacteria; Pseudomonadati; Pseudomonadota; Gammaproteobacteria; Enterobacterales; Enterobacteriaceae. The record is from RNAcentral.
UGGAGCUGAAAUCAGUCGAAGAUACCAGCUGGCUGCAACUGUUUAUUAAAAACACAGCACUGUGCAAACACGAAAGUGGACGUAUACGGUGUGACGCCUGCCCGGUGCCGGAAGGUUAAUUGAUGGGGUUAUCCUCACGGAGAAGCUCUUGAUCGAAGCCCCGGUAAACGGCGGCCGUAACUAUAACGGUCCUAAGGUAGCGAAAUUCCUUGUCGGGUAAGUUCCGACCUGCACGAAUGGCGUAAUGAUGGCCAGGCUGUCUCCACCCGAGACUCAGUGAAAUUGAACUCGCUGUGAAGAUGCAGUGUACCCGCGGCAAGACGGAAAGACCCCGUGAACCUUUACUAUAGCUUGACACUGAACACUGGUCCUUGAUGUGUAGGAUAGGUGGGAGGCUUUGAAGUGUGGACGCCAGUCUGCAUGGAGCCGUCCUUGAAAUACCACCCUUUAAUGGCUGGUGUUCUAACGUGGGCCCGUAAUCCGGGUUGCGGACAGUGUCUGGUGGGUAGUUUGACUGGGGCGGUCUCCUCCUAAAGAGUAACGGAGGAGCACGAAGGUCAGCUAAUCCUGGUCGGACAUCAGGAGGUUAGUGCAAUGGCAUAAGCUGGCUUGACUGCGAGCGUGACGGCGCGAGCAGGUGCGAAAGCAGGUCAUAGUGAUCCGGUGGUUCUGAAUGGAAGGGCCAUCGCUCAACGGAUAAAAGGUACUCCGGGGAUAACAGGCUGAUACCGCCCAAGAGUUCAUAUCGACGGCGGUGUUUGGCACCUCGAUGUCGGCUCAUCACAUCCUGGGGCUGAAGUAGGUCCCAAGGGUAUGGCUGUUCGCCAUUUAAAGUGGUACGCGAGCUGGGUUUAGAACGUCGUGAGACAGUUCGGUCCCUAUCUGCCGUGGGCGCUGGAGAAUUGAGGGGGGCUGCUCCUAGUACGAGAGGACCGGAGUGGACGCAUCACUGGUGUUCGGGUUGUCAUGCCAAUGGCAUUGCCCGGUAGCUAAAUGCGGAAGAGAUAAGUGCUGAAAGCAUCUAAGCACGAAACUUGCCCCGAGAUGAGUUCUCCCUGACCCUUUAAGGGUCCUGAAGGAACGUUGAAGACGACGACGUUGAUAGGCCGGGUGUGUAAGCGCAGCGAUGCGUUGAGCUAACCGGUACUAAUGAACCGUGAGGCUUAACCUUACAACGCCGAAG